AAAUUGAAGAGUUUGAUCAUGGCUCAGAUUGAACGCUGGCGGCAGGCCUAACACAUGCAAGUCGAGCGGAAACGACAACAUUGAAUCUUCGGAGGAUUUGUUGGGCGUCGAGCGGCGGACGGGUGAGUAAUGCCUAGGAAAUUGCCUUGAUGUGGGGGAUAACCAUUGGAAACGAUGGCUAAUACCGCAUAAUGCCUUCGGGCCAAAGAGGGGGAUCU
RNAcentral lists this ribosomal RNA (218 nucleotides) under Vibrio lentus. Its description in RNAcentral is "partial 16S ribosomal RNA". It matches the Rfam family "Bacterial small subunit ribosomal RNA", at positions 1 to 215 of the family's 1533-position model. The record is from RNAcentral. Lineage: Bacteria; Pseudomonadati; Pseudomonadota; Gammaproteobacteria; Vibrionales; Vibrionaceae.